GUUUGAUCCUGGCUCAGGACAAACGCUGGCGGGGUGCGUGAGACAUGCAAGUCGAACGAGGUGCCAUCGGGCUUGCUCGAUGGCUACCUAGUGGCGGACGGCUGAGUAACGCGUAGGUGACCUGCCCGGAAGUGGGGAAUAACUGCCCGAAAGGGUGGCUAAUACCGCAUGUGGUCGGCGAAUCGGUUCGUCGUCUAAAGGAGUAAUCCGCUUCCGGAGGGGCCUGCGUCCGAUUAGCUAGUUGGUGGGGUAACCGGGGCUCCACCCAAGGCGACGAUCGGUAGCUGGUCUGAGAGGAUGAUCAGCCAGACUGGGACUGAGAACGGCCCAGACUCCUACGGGAGGCAGCAGUCGGGAAUUUUGCCCAAUGGACGAAAGUCUGAGGCAGCAACUCCGCGUGAGGGAUGAAGGCUCUCGGGCUCGUAAACCUCUUUUCUCAGGGAAGAUCCAAGACGGUACCUGAGGAAUAAGCCACGGCUAACUACGUGCCAGCAGCCGCGGUAAUACGUAGGUGGCAAGCGUUGUCCGGAUUUACUGGGCGUAAAGAGCGCGCAGGCGGCUGGUCAAGUCCAAUGUGAAAUCUCCCGGCUCAACUGGGAAACUGCAUCGGAAACUGAUCGGCUUGAAGGUGGGAGAGGGUAGUGGAAUUCCCGGUGUAGUGGUGAAAUGCGUAGAUAUCGGGAGGAACACCAGUGGCGAAGGCGACUACCUGGCCCAUUCUUGACGCUGAGGCGCGAAAGCUAGGGGAGCGAACGGGAUUAGAUACCCCGGUAGUCCUAGCCGUAAACGAUGAACACUAGGCGUAGUCGGUAUCGACCCCGGCUGUGCCGUAGCUAACGCAUUAAGUGUUCCGCCUGGGGAGUACGGCCGCAAGGCUAAAACUCAAAGGAAUUGACGG
This 898-nucleotide ribosomal RNA is filed under the name uncultured bacterium. Its description in RNAcentral is "bacterial SSU rRNA". It matches the Rfam family "Bacterial small subunit ribosomal RNA", at positions 11 to 916 of the family's 1533-position model. The record is from RNAcentral.